UUAAGUUAAUAAGGGCGCACGGUGGAUGCCUUGGCACUAGAAGCCGAUGAAGGACGUGACUAACGACGAAAUGCUUUGGGGAGCUGUAAGUGAGCAAUGAUCCAGAGAUGUCCGAAUGGGGGAACCCGGCAGGUAAUGCCUGUCACUCAUUACUGUUAAGGUAAUGUAGAGGAAGACGCAGUGAACUGAAACAUCUAAGUAGCUGUAGGAAGAGAAAGCAAAAGCGAUUGCCUUAGUAGCGGCGAGCGAAACGGCAAGAGGGCAAACCGAAGAGUUUACUCUUCGGGGUUGUAGGACUGCAACGUGGACUUAAAGAUUAUAGAAGAACUACCUGGGAAGGUAGGCCAAAGAGAGUAAUAGCCUCGUAUUCGAAAUAGUCUUUAUACCUAGCAGUAUCCUGAGUACGGCGAGACACGAGAAAUCUCGUCGGAAUCUGGGAGGACCAUCUCCCAACCCUAAAUACUCUCUAGUGACCGAUAGUGAACCAGUACCGUGAGGGAAAGGUGAAAAGCACCCCGGGAGGGGAGUGAAAUAGAACCUGAAACCGUGUGCCUACAACAAGUUCGAGCCCGUUAAUGGGUGAGAGCGUGCCUUUUGUAGAAUGAACCGGCGAGUUACGAUAUGAUGCGAGGUUAAGUUGAAGAGACGGAGCCGUAGGGAAACCGAGUCUUAAUAGGGCGCAUUAGUAUCAUGUCGUAGACCCGAAACCAUGUGACCUACCCAUGAGCAGGUUGAAGGUGAGGUAAAACUCACUGGAGGACCGAACCAGGGCACGUUGAAAAGUGCUUGGAUGACUUGUGGGUAGCGGAGAAAUUCCAAACGAACUUGGAGAUAGCUGGUUCUCUCCGAAAUAGCUUUAGGGCUAGCGUCGAUGUUAAGUCUCUUGGAGGUAGAGCACUGUUUGGGUGAGGGGUCCAUCCCGGAUUACCAAUCUCAGAUAAACUCCGAAUGCCAAUGAGAUAUAAUCGGCAGUCAGACUGCGAGUGCUAAGAUCCGUAGUCGAAAGGGAAACAGCCCAGACCACCAGCUAAGGUCCCAAAAUAUAUGUUAAGUGGAAAAGGAUGUGGGGUUGCACAGACAACUAGGAUGUUAGCUUAGAAGCAGCUAUUCAUUCAAAGAGUGCGUAAUAGCUCACUAGUCGAGUGACCCUGCGCCGAAAAUGUACCGGGGCUAAAACAUAUUACCGAAGCUGUGGAUACCUUUAUAGGUAUGGUAGGAGAGCGUUCUAUGUGCGAAGAAGGUGUACCGUGAGGAGUGCUGGAGCGCAUAGAAGUGAGAAUGCCGGUAUGAGUAGCGAAAGACAGGUGAGAAUCCUGUCCACCGUAAGACUAAGGUUUCCAGGGGAAGGCUCGUCCGCCCUGGGUUAGUCGGGACCUAAGGAGAGACCGAAAGGUGUAUCCGAUGGACAACAGGUUGAUAUUCCUGUACUAGAGUAUAUAGUGAUGGAGGGACGCAGUAGGCUAACUAAACCAGACGAUUGGAAGUGUCUGGCCAAGCAGUGAGGUGUGAUAUGAGUCAAAUGCUUAUAUCUUUAACAUUGAGCUGUGAUGGGGAGCGAAGUUUAGUAGCGAAGUUAGUGAUGUCACACUGCCGAGAAAAGCUUCUAGCGUUAAUUAUACUCUACCCGUACCGCAAACCGACACAGGUAGUCGAGGCGAGUAGCCUCAGGUGAGCGAGAGAACUCUCGUUAAGGAACUCGGCAAAAUGGCCCCGUAACUUCGGGAGAAGGGGCGCUGACUGAUGGUCAGCCGCAGUGAAUAGGCCCAAGCAACUGUUUAUCAAAAACACAGCUCUCUGCUAAAUCGUAAGAUGAUGUAUAGGGGGUGACGCCUGCCCGGUGCUGGAAGGUUAAGAGGAGUGCUUAGCGUAAGCGAAGGCAUGAAUUGAAGCCCCAGUAAACGGCGGCCGUAACUAUAACGGUCCUAAGGUAGCGAAAUUCCUUGUCGGGUAAGUUCCGACCCGCACGAAAGGCGUAAUGAUUUGGGCACUGUCUCAACGAGAGACUCGGUGAAAUUUUAGUACCUGUGAAGAUGCAGGUUACCCGCGACAGGACGGAAAGACCCCAUGGAGCUUUACUGCAGUUUGAUAUUGAGUAUCUGUACCACAUGUACAGGAUAGGUAGGAGCCUAUGACCUCGGGACGCCAGUUUCGAGUGAGGCGUUGUUGGGAUACUACCCUUGUGUUAUGGCUACUCUAACCCAGAUAGGUUAUCCCUAUCGGAGACAGUGUCUGACGGGCAGUUUGACUGGGGCGGUCGCCUCCUAAAAGGUAACGGAGGCGCCCAAAGGUUCCCUCAGAAUGGUUGGAAAUCAUUCGCAGAGUGUAAAGGUAUAAGGGAGCUUGACUGCGAGAGUUACAACUCGAGCAGGGACGAAAGUCGGGCUUAGUGAUCCGGUGGUUCCGUAUGGAAGGGCCAUCGCUCAACGGAUAAAAGCUACCCUGGGGAUAACAGGCUUAUCUCCCCCAAGAGUUCACAUCGACGGGGAGGUUUGGCACCUCGAUGUCGGCUCGUCGCAUCCUGGGGCUGUAGUCGGUCCCAAGGGUUGGGCUGUUCGCCCAUUAAAGCGGCACGCGAGCUGGGUUCAGAACGUCGUGAGACAGUUCGGUCCCUAUCCGUCGCGGGCGUAGGAAAUUUGAGAGGAUCUGCUCCUAGUACGAGAGGACCAGAGUGGACUUACCGCUGGUGUACCAGUUGUUCUGCCAAGAGCAUCGCUGGGUAGCUAUGUAGGGAAGGGAUAAACGCUGAAAGCAUCUAAGUGUGAAGCCCACCUCAAGAUGAGAUUUCCCAUGAUUUUAUAUCAGUAAGAGCCCUGAGAGAUGAUCAGGUUGAUAGGUUAGAAGUGGAAGUGUGGUGACACAUGUAGCGGACUAAUACUAAUAGCUCGAGGACUUAUCCAA
RNAcentral lists this ribosomal RNA (2898 nucleotides) under Streptococcus thermophilus. Its description in RNAcentral is "bacterial LSU rRNA". It matches the Rfam family "Bacterial large subunit ribosomal RNA". The record is from RNAcentral. RNAcentral also lists the same sequence under 3 other names. Lineage: Bacteria; Bacillati; Bacillota; Bacilli; Lactobacillales; Streptococcaceae.